This 481-nucleotide ribosomal RNA is filed under the name uncultured bacterium. Its description in RNAcentral is "bacterial SSU rRNA". It matches the Rfam family "Bacterial small subunit ribosomal RNA", at positions 28 to 511 of the family's 1533-position model. The record is from RNAcentral.
GACGAACGCUGGCGGCGUGCCUAACACAUGCAAGUCGAACGAAGCUUGACGAACGAUUCUUCGGAUGAAUUCUGAUAUGACUGAGUGGCGGACGGGUGAGUAACGCGUGAGCAACCUGCCCUUCAGAGGGGGAUAGUGUCUGGAAACGGACAGUAAUACCGCAUAAGCGCACAGCAUCGCAUGAUGCAGUGUGAAAAACUCCGGUGGUAUAAGAUGGACCCGCGUUGGAUUAGCUAGUUGGUGAGGUAACGGCCCACCAAGGCGACGAUCAGUAGCCGACCUGAGAGGGUGACCGGCCACAUUGGGACUGAGACACGGCCCAAAAUCCUACGGGAGGCAGCAGUGGGGAAUAUUGCACAAUGGGGGAAACCCUGAUGCAGCGACGCCGCGUGAGCGAAGAAGUAUUUCGGAUGUAAAGCUCUAUCAGCAGGGAAGAAAAUGACGGUACCUGACUAAGAAGCACCGGCUAAAUACGUGCCAG